RNAcentral lists this ribosomal RNA (2923 nucleotides) under Staphylococcus aureus. Its description in RNAcentral is "bacterial LSU rRNA". It matches the Rfam family "Bacterial large subunit ribosomal RNA". Lineage: Bacteria; Bacillati; Bacillota; Bacilli; Caryophanales; Staphylococcaceae. The record is from RNAcentral.
GAUUAAGUUAUUAAGGGCGCACGGUGGAUGCCUUGGCACUAGAAGCCGAUGAAGGACGUUACUAACGACGAUAUGCUUUGGGGAGCUGUAAGUAAGCUUUGAUCCAGAGAUUUCCGAAUGGGGAAACCCAGCAUGAGUUAUGUCAUGUUAUCGAUAUGUGAAUACAUAGCAUAUCAGAAGGCACACCCGGAGAACUGAAACAUCUUAGUACCCGGAGGAAGAGAAAGAAAAUUCGAUUCCCUUAGUAGCGGCGAGCGAAACGGGAAGAGCCCAAACCAACAAGCUUGCUUGUUGGGGUUGUAGGACACUCUAUACGGAGUUACAAAGGACGACAUUAGACGAAUCAUCUGGAAAGAUGAAUCAAAGAAGGUAAUAAUCCUGUAGUCGAAAAUGUUGUCUCUCUUGAGUGGAUCCUGAGUACGACGGAGCACGUGAAAUUCCGUCGGAAUCUGGGAGGACCAUCUCCUAAGGCUAAAUACUCUCUAGUGACCGAUAGUGAACCAGUACCGUGAGGGAAAGGUGAAAAGCACCCCGGAAGGGGAGUGAAAUAGAACCUGAAACCGUGUGCUUACAAGUAGUCAGAGCCCGUUAAUGGGUGAUGGCGUGCCUUUUGUAGAAUGAACCGGCGAGUUACGAUUUGAUGCAAGGUUAAGCAGUAAAUGUGGAGCCGUAGCGAAAGCGAGUCUGAAUAGGGCGUUUAGUAUUUGGUCGUAGACCCGAAACCAGGUGAUCUACCCUUGGUCAGGUUGAAGUUCAGGUAACACUGAAUGGAGGACCGAACCGACUUACGUUGAAAAGUGAGCGGAUGAACUGAGGGUAGCGGAGAAAUUCCAAUCGAACCUGGAGAUAGCUGGUUCUCUCCGAAAUAGCUUUAGGGCUAGCCUCAAGUGAUGAUUAUUGGAGGUAGAGCACUGUUUGGACGAGGGGCCCCUCUCGGGUUACCGAAUUCAGACAAACUCCGAAUGCCAAUUAAUUUAACUUGGGAGUCAGAACAUGGGUGAUAAGGUCCGUGUUCGAAAGGGAAACAGCCCAGACCACCAGCUAAGGUCCCAAAAUAUAUGUUAAGUGGAAAAGGAUGUGGCGUUGCCCAGACAACUAGGAUGUUGGCUUAGAAGCAGCCAUCAUUUAAAGAGUGCGUAAUAGCUCACUAGUCGAGUGACACUGCGCCGAAAAUGUACCGGGGCUAAACAUAUUACCGAAGCUGUGGAUUGUCCUUUGGACAAUGGUAGGAGAGCGUUCUAAGGGCGUUGAAGCAUGAUCGUAAGGACAUGUGGAGCGCUUAGAAGUGAGAAUGCCGGUGUGAGUAGCGAAAGACGGGUGAGAAUCCCGUCCACCGAUUGACUAAGGUUUCCAGAGGAAGGCUCGUCCGCUCUGGGUUAGUCGGGUCCUAAGCUGAGGCCGACAGGCGUAGGCGAUGGAUAACAGGUUGAUAUUCCUGUACCACCUAUAAUCGUUUUAAUCGAUGGGGGGACGCAGUAGGAUAGGCGAAGCGUGCGAUUGGAUUGCACGUCUAAGCAGUAAGGCUGAGUAUUAGGCAAAUCCGGUACUCGUUAAGGCUGAGCUGUGAUGGGGAGAAGACAUUGAGUCUUCGAGUCGUUGAUUUCACACUGCCGAGAAAAGCCUCUAGAUAGAAAAUAGGUGCCCGUACCGCAAACCGACACAGGUAGUCAAGAUGAGAAUUCUAAGGUGAGCGAGCGAACUCUCGUUAAGGAACUCGGCAAAAUGACCCCGUAACUUCGGGAGAAGGGGUGCUCUUUAGGGUUAACGCCCAGAAGAGCCGCAGUGAAUAGGCUCAAGCGACUGUUUAUCAAAAACACAGGUCUCUGCUAAACCGUAAGGUGAUGUAUAGGGGCUGACGCCUGCCCGGUGCUGGAAGGUUAAGAGGAGUGGUUAGCUUCUGCGAAGCUACGAAUCGAAGCCCCAGUAAACGGCGGCCGUAACUAUAACGGUCCUAAGGUAGCGAAAUUCCUUGUCGGGUAAGUUCCGACCCGCACGAAAGGCGUAACGAUUUGGGCACUGUCUCAACGAGAGACUCGGUGAAAUCAUAGUACCUGUGAAGAUGCAGGUUACCCGCGACAGGACGGAAAGACCCCGUGGAGCUUUACUGUAGCCUGAUAUUGAAAUUCGGCACAGCUUGUACAGGAUAGGUAGGAGCCUUUGAAACGUGAGCGCUAGCUUACGUGGAGGCGCUGGUGGGAUACUACCCUAGCUGUGUUGGCUUUCUAACCCGCACCACUUAUCGUGGUGGGAGACAGUGUCAGGCGGGCAGUUUGACUGGGGCGGUCGCCUCCUAAAAGGUAACGGAGGCGCUCAAAGGUUCCCUCAGAAUGGUUGGAAAUCAUUCAUAGAGUGUAAAGGCAUAAGGGAGCUUGACUGCGAGACCUACAAGUCGAGCAGGGUCGAAAGACGGACUUAGUGAUCCGGUGGUUCCGCAUGGAAGGGCCAUCGCUCAACGGAUAAAAGCUACCCCGGGGAUAACAGGCUUAUCUCCCCCAAGAGUUCACAUCGACGGGGAGGUUUGGCACCUCGAUGUCGGCUCAUCGCAUCCUGGGGCUGUAGUCGGUCCCAAGGGUUGGGCUGUUCGCCCAUUAAAGCGGUACGCGAGCUGGGUUCAGAACGUCGUGAGACAGUUCGGUCCCUAUCCGUCGUGGGCGUAGGAAAUUUGAGAGGAGCUGUCCUUAGUACGAGAGGACCGGGAUGGACAUACCUCUGGUGUACCAGUUGUCGUGCCAACGGCAUAGCUGGGUAGCUAUGUGUGGACGGGAUAAGUGCUGAAAGCAUCUAAGCAUGAAGCCCCCCUCAAGAUGAGAUUUCCCAACUUCGGUUAUAAGAUCCCUCAAAGAUGAUGAGGUUAAUAGGUUCGAGGUGGAAGCAUGGUGACAUGUGGAGCUGACGAAUACUAAUCGAUCGAAGACUUAAUCAA